RNAcentral lists this long non-coding RNA (3566 nucleotides) under Sus scrofa (pig). Its description in RNAcentral is "lncRNA (ENSSSCG00040024364.1)". The record is from RNAcentral. Lineage: Eukaryota; Metazoa; Chordata; Mammalia; Artiodactyla; Suidae.
UUUUUUUUUUUUUUUUGUCUUUUUAGGGCUGCACUGGUGGCAUAUGGAAGUUCCCAGAUUAGGGGUUGAAUAGGAGCUGCAGCUGCUGGCCUAGGCCACAGCCACAGCAACGUGGGAUUCGAGCCACAUCUGUGACCUACACCUCAGAUUCCCCCACCCACUGAGCAAGGCCAGGGAUCGAAUCUGCAUUCUCAUGUAUACUAGUCAGAUUCGUUUCCGCUGAGCUACAAUGGGAACUCUGAGGAAGUAGAUUUUUAAAACAGAAAUAUCAAUAAAAUAAUUGUUUAAAAUAUGACUCCAAGAAAAGGGAACUUCCCUACACUACUGGUAGGAAUGUAACAUGAUGCAGCCUCUAUGGAAACCAGGAUGGAGGUACCUCAGAAAACUAAAAAUAGAGUUGGCUUAUGAACCAGCAAUCCCACUCCUGGGCAUAUACUCAGACAAAACUUUAAUUCCAAAAGAUACAUGCACCCCUAUGUUCCUACCAGCACUACUGACAAAUAGCCAAGACCUGGAACCAACAUAAAUGUCCACUGACAGAUGAUUGGAUAAAGAAGGUGUGGCAUGUACAUACGAUGGAUAUGAGCCAUAAAAAGAAUGAAGUACUGCCAUGUGCAGCAAUGUGGACAGACCUAGAGAUUAUCAUGCUAAAUGACGUACGUCAGAAAGAGAAGGACAAACAUCCUAGGAUAUCACUUAUAUGUGGAAUCUAAAAUAUAACACAAAUGAGCUUAUCGACAAAACAGAAACAGACUCGCAGAUACAGAGAACAAACAUCUUGUUGCCAAGGAAGGAGUGGGAUAGGGAAUGACUGGGAGUUUGUGAUGAGCAGAUGCAAAGUUUUUUGUUUGUUUGUUUGUUUUUUUGUCUUUUUGCCUUUUCUAGGCCCGCUCCCGAGGCAUAUGGAGGCCCUAAAAGACAAAAAGACCAAAAAGACCAAAAAAAAAAAAAAAAAAGAAUGUAUGUAUAACUGAAUCAUUUUGCUGUACAGCAGAAAUUAAUACAACAUUGUACAUCAACUGUACUUCAAUGAAAUAAAAAAUAAAAUAAAUUACGACUCUUCUCUCAAUUCACAACAUUUCUGUCCACCCACAAUUUUGUAGGAACCUAAGUCAAACUGGACUUUUCCCUUUGUAGGGUGAUGGUGGUCUCACUGAGAAAGCUCUACAUGCAGUCAAGUAGGCUGGGCUCUCUAGUCACAGUUCUAAUUUAUUAGGUGUGUGUUCAGGGAAGAACAUGGACUUGGGAAUCGGAUCCGAGUUCCAAUAUGAGUUCUGCCACUGUCGCUACAAGGAGACCUUGAUCACUUUUGUUGAUGCCUCUGAGCCUGAGGUUCUUAUUUGAAAAAUGAAGGCACGCUAGUAACACCAUUGCUGCAUCUCAUCUUCAUUGGAUUACAGGCAAUUUUUAACGUAUCGUUCCUGUCCUUCAUUUGAUUUGAUCAUCGAAGUGCGGUUAUUGAAUAACUGCUACAUUUUCACCGAACAUUCCUACUUUCAAAGAGCCAGCAAGCUAAGAAACAUAGGCUCGGGAGUCAGAGGACCAAGUAUUAACUUCUAGCUCAGCCACGUCCUAGCUGUGUGACCUUGAGUGAGUGACUUAAACUUCUUAAAGCCUUGACUUUCCCAUUCAAAAAUAGCAAAGAGGAGUUCCCGUCGUGGCGGAGUGGUUAACGAAUCCGACUAGGAACCAUGAGGUUGCGGGUUCGAUCCCUGCCCUUGCUCAGUGGGUUAAGGAUCCGGCAUUGCCGUGAGCUGUGGGGUAGGUUGCAGAUGCGGCUCGGAUCCCGCGUUGCUGUGGCUCUGGCGUAGGCCGGUGGCUACAGCUCCGAUUCAACCCCUAGCCUGGGAACUUCCAUAUGCCGCGGGAGCGGCCCAAGAAAUAGCAACAACAACAAGAACAACAACAACAAAAAACAAAAAUAGCAAGUAAUAAGAAACAGUUUGGCGCUUUCCCAGGAACCUAAAAGUAGAACUAUCAUAUGACCACAUGACACAGCACUUGCUCUUCUGGGCAUAUAUCCAUAAAACCCCCCCAAAACAAAAACACAAAUUCAAAAAGAUACAUGCACCCCUAUGUUCUCAGGAGCACGACUGACAAUAGCCAAGUCAUGGAAGCAACCUAAGAGUCCAUUAACAAAUGAAUGGAUAAAGAAAAUGUGAUACACACACACACACACACACACACACACACACACACACAGGAAUAUUACUCAGCCAUAAAAAAGAAAAAAUCUGCCAUUUGAAACAACACGGAUGGACUUGGAGGGCAUUAUGCUAAGUGAGUAAGUCAGAAGAGAAAGACAAAUCCUAUUUGAUCUCACUUCUAUGUGGAAUCUAAAAAUGUAACAAACUAGUGAAUAAAACCAAACAGAAACAGGCUCACAGACAUAGAGAACACUCUAGGGAGAGAGGGAAGGUGGGGGGGAACAGACGGUUGGAGAGAAAAAGGUUAUCACCGAAUUCUAUGAAAUCAUGCAUGUGAAACUUCUGAAAACUGUAAAGCACUACAGAAUUUAAAGACUCCUUCAUUCAACUAAAAAAUAAAAAACAAUGUGCUAAGCUAAACGUGACUAUCCAGACACAUCCACUAUAAAAUGAGCCUACUGUACACAGAUCAAAGGCUAGUAAUUCUCUUACACUUUUUACCCUUGUCCAUAAAGAUGUCUUUCCCACAAGCGAACAAAACCAAAAACAGCAGUUAAGGGAGUUCCCUCUUGGCACAGGGAGCUAAGGAUCCGGUGUUUUCCUUGCAGCGGCUGGGGUCACUACUGCGGUGUGGGUUCAAUCCCUGGGCCAGGAAUGUCCGCUGCUGUGGGCAUGGCCAAACCCACACAAACAAGCAAGCAAACAAAACAGCAGGUAGUGAUAACAGUACUAACGUCACACACGCUUCGAAGGUUCAACGAAACGUUCCCGGCAGAUCGCUUAGCACAAUGCCGGCACUUAGCACCCCACGUGUGUCAGCUGUGACUACCUGAUUAAUGACAAAUCAAGAUCAUACCUGCUACAGGGGCUUACAAAGGUCCGAUCCUUGCUGCUGUUCAGAAGUAGAGGUGGGGAUUUUAUCCCCAGUCUGUCUGACUUAUGAUAAUGAACAAGAUGCAGGGAGCUCACGUAUCUGGGAGAAACAGACAAGAGACUGGACUUUACAAGACAGGGUGCCCUUGAGCUGACAGGAAAAAUACACAGGGCUCAGGGAGCACCAGUGGGGAGGGACUGGAAAGUGAACAAACGUGGGACUUUUUAGAAGACAGGAAUAUAGGUAACAGAAAUGCUGACAUCACCUCACAUUUGACCGUUUCUGAAAACCAAAAUUUCCAGAGAUGUCCAGCAGCUUAGGACAUUGGAGGAGCAAAAAUUCAGGCUGCAGGCAUAUGAAUGCCCCCAAAAGAAGGACUGAAAUGAGUGGAUCGAGUACAGGCAGAGUUAUGUCAGAGGUUUGAUAAAGAGUCCCCUGCCAAGCUGUUCACACAAGGGGCACAACUUUCUCUUCUACAACUAAGGAAAAGUCUUCAAAUACAACAGCAAAUGGGCCGGAGGCAUUGUGAGGCAUGAAUGACUGAC